Molecule: long non-coding RNA, 1259 nt
Filed under: Urocitellus parryii (Arctic ground squirrel)
Lineage: Eukaryota; Metazoa; Chordata; Mammalia; Rodentia; Sciuridae
Description: lncRNA (ENSUPAG00010018573.1)
Source: RNAcentral
CCCGGCAGUGUGACUCCGGAAACAGCCUGUUGGGCUCCUCGAAGGCCCCGCCCGAGAGGCAGGGAGGUUUUGAUUAUGAAGAACACAAAUCUACAAAGCACUGAACUAUGAUGGAAUGGAGAGAGCAUCUUGAGGCGGCUGCGGACAAAACCCUGCCCGCCAAGGAGAUGAAAGUCUGAGCAUGAGUCACCUCCAGGGCGAGAGCGGUCACAUCUCCCCAGUGAGGAGACGCUUCCUGCCAGGGUGAAAGAUGAAAUGGAGAAGGCGCACUUGGUAAAGAAGCUGACUGAGCAUGCGGUGGACGCAGCCCACUGUGGAGGUGGUGGGCAGACCCUGACAAGAAGUAGACUCUAACAGGACACCAUCACACGGAACCCUCUCCAUGCAGCCUCGCUGGCUCCGGGAACUGGCGUCACCCACCUGCCAGGGUCUCUGUUCAGGUGACGUGGGGUCAGCACCAUACGGCCCCCUACCACGAGUCCCUCUGGCAGCACAGAUUUCAGGUGGAAUCGGAGGGAGUCACCGGGCGUGGACCGAAGCUCUCCUCACCUGGACGUGCGAGCAGAUGAUCAGAAUCAGGUGCAGGAAGCUUUAAAUAUGGAGAAGCUCUGCAAAGCCAUGUGUGUAUCCAGCUGCAGAACAAGUAAGCCCUGUGGGCGUGGCCUCUAAUGUCCAUCAGGGGCCUCUCCACCCAGUCCUGGUGCCUGCUCCCAUGAAUCCUGAGGAUGCUAGAGGAUAAAGCAAURUAACUUUAUGCACCAACAUCGGGAGGUUAGAAUUCCACAGAGAACACCGGGGUGCGCACCGGGGUCCCCUGCACCCCCUAGCUGGGUGGAGCCCUACCAGCUGGUUUUAGCACUGCUGUCAGGUGGCGAAUGUCUGAGACAAUGGAACUGGGCUGCUCCUUUGGUUAAGUCAAGGCUUAGUCUUAUGCAAGUCUGACUGUGCAGAUUGGGUUGCAUAGUUUAGGGGAUAAUUGUCUCUGUCUAAAGCUAAGAAAACAUUUGUGGACAAUUAAAAUCCUCUCAUGACGUGGGCAUUCAACUUUGCUCUUUCUCAAUAUGCCCAGCACAUUUUACUGCCAGAGACCAAGAGUCUUAGAUGGAUUUGUGAGUAUCAUGAGGGUCAUGUUUAAAUACAUCUCUUAACAUACUAUAUAAAAAUUCUAAGCUAGAAAUGUGUAUGACUUUCAAAUGAGGAUUGACAGUAACAAACAAUAACAAACUGCAACAUUAGAAACACAUUCACAGAAGAUGAAC